This 466-nucleotide ribosomal RNA is filed under the name uncultured bacterium. RNAcentral describes it as "partial 16S ribosomal RNA". It matches the Rfam family "Bacterial small subunit ribosomal RNA", at positions 28 to 507 of the family's 1533-position model. The record is from RNAcentral.
GAUGAACGCUGGCGGCGUGCUUAACACAUGCAAGUCGAACGGAAAGGCUCCUGCUUGCAGGGGUACUCGAGUGGCGAACGGGUGAGUAACACGUGGGUGAUCUGCCCAGCACUUCGGGAUAAGCCUGGGAAACUGGGUCUAAUACCGGAUAGGACGAUGGUUUGGAUGCCAUUGUGGAAAGUUUUUUCGGUGUGGGAUGAGCUCGCGGCCUAUCAGCUUGUUGGUGGGGUAAUGGCCUACCAAGGCGUCGACGGGUAGCCGGCCUGGGAGGGUGUACGGCCACAUUGGGACUGAGGUACGGCGCAGACUCCUACGGGAGGCAGCGGUGGGGAAUAUUGCACAGUGGGCGCAAGCCUGAUGCGGCGACGCCGGGUGGGGGAUGACGGCCUUCGGGUUAUAAACUCCUUUCGCUAGGGACGAAGCGCAAGUGACGGUACCUGGAGAAGAAGCACCGGCUAACUACGUG